This 505-nucleotide ribosomal RNA is filed under the name uncultured bacterium. Its description in RNAcentral is "partial 16S ribosomal RNA". It matches the Rfam family "Bacterial small subunit ribosomal RNA", at positions 28 to 507 of the family's 1533-position model. The record is from RNAcentral.
GACGAACGCUGGCGGCAUGCCUAAUACAUGCAAGUAGAACGCACAGUUUAUACCGUAGCUUGCUACACCAUAGACUGUGAGUUGCGAACGGGUGAGUAACGCGUAGGUAACCUGCCUGGUAGCGGGGGAUAACUAUUGGAAACGAUAGCUAAUACCGCAUAAUAUUGAUUAUUGCAUGAUAAUUGAUUGAAAGAUGCUAUUGCAUCACUACCAGAUGGACCUGCGUUGUAUUAGCUAGUAGGUGAGGUAACGGCUCACCUAGGCGACGAUACAUAGCCGACCUGAGAGGGUGAUCGGCCACACUGGGACUGAGACACGGCCCAGACUCCUACGGGAGGCAGCAGUAGGGAAUCUUCGGCAAUGGACGAAAGUCUGACCGAGCAACGCCGCGUGAGUGAAGAAGGUUUUCGGAUCGUAAAGCUCUGUUGUAAGAGAAGAACGGGUGUGAGAGUGGAAAGUUCACACUGUGACGGUAUCUUACCAGAAAGGGACGGCUAACUACGUG